RNAcentral lists this long non-coding RNA (366 nucleotides) under Polistes fuscatus (common paper wasp). Its description in RNAcentral is "uncharacterized LOC122526601". The record is from RNAcentral. Lineage: Eukaryota; Metazoa; Arthropoda; Insecta; Hymenoptera; Vespidae.
ACCACUCUGUAAGGAUCACUCAUAGCAGUUCCUAAUUCGCUUUGAAAUUUCUGAAGCGCAUUUUGAGAUAUUACUCUAGUGUUACCGAACCAUCUUUGAGAAGGUUCAACGCGGGACAUAGUACCAGAUGCAUGCCAACCUUGAAACGGUGCUGGACUAAUAAUUUUACCUACACGAUUACGUUUAGGGUUCAUACUAUGCCCGGAACGAUUAAAACCUUGUUUCCGAGGAACUUUAUUAUCUGCUCGUUAUUUAGCCAUUUUAAUAUUAUAAUUAUAUCACUUUUUGUAAACUUUUUGUAAAAUUUUGUAAACGAUUAUUGCUUUUAACAUGGCAAUGACGAAUAAUUAUUUCUUAAUCUUUAAA